UCUCCAGCCCCGAGCGCCAGGAGGGCUGCAGCUCCUCGCGUGGCUGGGGGUGGGGCGCUCCUGGCUGCGGGAACCCCCCUCCUCCACGGGACGGACCCCGACCCUGCGCGGCUCGCCCAGCUCUCCGCAGGCUUCUUUUCCGUUCUAGAAUCUUCUCCGUUCCCAGCCUGCGUUCUCUCGCCCGACUCUAAUUGCGUGAGUUUCACGAAGCAACAGCUUUGAGCUGGAGGAAAAUCAUUCGGAGGAAGGAAGCGCGCGGGUCCGAAUCGUCUCCAAACAGCCCCCGCCGCCACAUUUGUCUCCCCCUCCAAAAAAAGAAAAAAGCAAAAACCUUUAAGCAGCAGCAGACGUAGGCUCCCGCAGCGUCCGAAGCCUUUCAGAGGAAGCCCGAGCCCGGCUGCCCCCACAGCCUGCUGGCCCCCACAGCACCCUCGCCUCCUCUUUGGGCUGCUUUGCGCGCGCCGCCCCCCACCUUUUCUGUCCGCCACCCCCUGCCCCCAGCCUCUCCCCCACACACUGGCAGGAUUUCCCUAGGUCUUCCUGGGACUUCCGAACGCGACUGUUUUAAUUUUGUCAACUUGCUCUGCAUUUUCUACGAGGUGUGGUCUUGGAGAGGAUCUUUUAGGUCCCUCCAGUGGAGGCGAAUCUGGGACCCCGGCCCUUUAUCUGUAAGAAGCUAGCCCUCGGAUUGCAGAGGCGUCGCGCCAGUCGUGCAGAGCUUUGCAAGGGGGAAGACGCAGCGGGCUGCGCUCGGCGCGGUGGUGGACCCAGUGGCGCUCACGCGGGGAGCCGACGCAGGACCCGGAGCUGCGCCGGCCCGACCUGCCCGCCCGCGGUGGGCUCGGGUCCCCGCCCCGGUGCGCAGGGUGCAGUGGGCUGCGUGAAGUCGCAGGCUCCACGCCGCCCUCCGCGCGCCCUGCUCGGGGAUUUCGUUGAGAAAAUCGAGCAGACGUGGACGAGAGGGUUGGGGGGGGGGGGGGUUAUGAAAAAUGGGAACCUGCGCAAAUUUCUCGCCAAAAGUGCACAUCGGUGAAUCUGGCGCCGCCUUGCAAACACCGACGGGGCAAACAAGAUCUAUGGUGUUUUGUUUUUUGUUUUUUUUUUAAGGUGCAAAGCCAAAGGCGCAUUACCUCCUCUCUUACCUGCUCUGCCUUCCUGGCUUCCCUCCACAGAUCUUACACUUUUCUUUAAUGGUUUUUAUUCAGUGCGGCAAGUUUUAAUGAAAGCAUAUGCAUCUUAAGCUUGAGUCACAACAAUAGAUUUAUUGCGAGGUGACAGCGUGUCAACAGCAUAUUUUCAGAAAUGAGCGACAGGAUUAUCCUCCAGUCGCGCCUGGAUUAAGGGCAACCACGGAAAUGGGCACCCGAGGUGCGGGCGCGACUCCUGCGUGCCGAACACACAUGCUUACCGUCACAUGACCACUGCCCAUUAAAAUAUUGUGAUACCUAAACACUGUUGCAGAAACCAAAGUUGCUUUUCUUCUCUGUAAUUAAAUCUAAUUUGUUAAUCGUC
This is a long non-coding RNA of Neofelis nebulosa (Clouded leopard), 1512 nucleotides long. RefSeq lists it as uncharacterized. Lineage: Eukaryota; Metazoa; Chordata; Mammalia; Carnivora; Felidae. The record is from RefSeq and is a predicted model, not a curated record. The transcript is spliced from 2 exons.